UCUCGUCUGGAGAUCUGCUCUGCUGUUUUGUGGGUGAGCCUAGCAUAAGGCAAUGCUCUCAUGGAUGCCCAUCUUUUCAGAAGCAAUGAAGGAACACAUAAUUGCAGUAAUAAUCCAGAUCCACCUGUAAGUGUUUCCAAAGCAGUUGGAGAGUGGUGAGAUAAAGAACAGAUGCAAGAUCUGAAUCCUGAUGACUGAGAUUAGAACACACCCAGCUAUGAGCCAACCCAGCAGCAGAACCUGCUGACUGCCAGUGGGAAACCAAGCUGCAAGAAAAUGAGGAGCAGCAGAGCUAUCAGGAAAGACAAAUAAUUGAGCAAAAUGGAGUUAAAAAAAAGAGAGAGAGAGAGAGAGAGACCAUUCACAGCUCUAAGCACAUGAUAAUAAGAAGUGGGGUUUCAUUUUUAAAUGUUUUUCCUGUACAGAACAAAGAGACAAGAAUGUUAACCACAUCUGCCUUUCAGUACAGCAAAGAAAUUACUGAGGAGGACAACGAAGAGGUACCUGAUGAGUACACGUGAUGUGAACUCACAGCUACUUCACACUUUCACACUGCUUUCAGAUCUCUAAUAUCAUUUCUAAUAUAUCUAAUAUCUGAUAUCUGAUAUCAGAUAAUAAACUGAUAUCUAAUAUCAGUUUCUGCAAUUCUUAAAUGGAAUAUGCUAUCUAGUUAUUUAUUCUUAGGUGGAACAUAAAACUGUUCCUAUACAAGCCCCUCUCUGGCCCUCUUGAAGCAAUUCCUGUGGAGUAACACAAGCCACACAGGAAAGCACAAUGCUAAGGCAGGUUUUAAAAGGCAUUUCUGAUAACCUUGCAAUACUAUUAUCCCCAGAGCCAGAUGACCCCAAAAGCCCAGCUCUGACACAUGAAUGACUGGGGCUUGUAGACUUUAACAGGGCCUCCCAUGCAGCAGGGAAGCUGAGCAAAUGAGCUGCAGGAUGCACAUUCUUCACAGAGUUGUUUACUCGCAGCCACAAAGCACGCAAACACCUCUGCGCUAUAAAUCACAGGGUUAGUGAGGCAGAGAGGAUGGGAACUUGUGUCAGCCCAGCAGUGUCAGUACCCACGGGUUCAGGGCAGCUUCCACCACAGAGUCCUGGAGUCACUAUGAGCCAGAAAAGUUAUUACCAAGCAGCAUUCAAAAAGUCAAGAGCAGCAUGCUCGAUACUGUACAGUAAUUAAGCUAAGUGUAAAUCAGGCUGAGUAGCACAUGCGUUCAUUAAUCAGGCAUUUUUCAACAAUCAAACAGGAAAAAUCAUGACAAAAAUCAACAAAAAACAAAUGACUGAAGAGCUCCAACUAUGGAGUACAAAGGAAAGCAUUUCUCAGUAACUUUUUAAGUCUCUGCUUAUGCAGGUAAACAGUAACAUACAGCAUACAAAACCAUCCCUAUUCAGCUGUAUUAUUUAAUCAGUAGUGUUAAGGUCUAGUACAGAGCAUGCAAAUUAGAGCCAACUCCUGAUAUUUAGCUACUAAAGAGUGUUUCCUGCCAGAGUUUGAUCUUCCCAUUUAACAUAGCAAAGAAUUCUGAAAUGA
Long non-coding RNA from Lagopus muta (rock ptarmigan), 1536 nucleotides. RefSeq lists it as uncharacterized. The transcript is spliced from 3 exons. The record is from RefSeq and is a predicted model, not a curated record. NCBI's taxonomy places the organism in Eukaryota, Metazoa, Chordata, Aves, Galliformes, Phasianidae.